This 713-nucleotide long non-coding RNA is filed under the name Oryza brachyantha (malo sina). RNAcentral describes it as "long non-coding RNA (OBRA_LNC002476)". The record is from RNAcentral. Lineage: Eukaryota; Viridiplantae; Streptophyta; Magnoliopsida; Poales; Poaceae.
CCACUAAACUUCAGUCAAAUUUAAUAAACUUUUAUAGUGUGAACGUGAGUUUUAAAAUUUUAAGUCCGAGUUUAUACAUAUCAAAUGAUGUAUCCAUUUUGCAAGGGUGGGUUGAAUCCAUUUUAACCAAAUGGGUUGGUGCGGGUUGGGCUAAAAUUAAAGUUUGAUUGGUUUGGAUUGGAUCCCAAUAAAGAAUAAUUGGUGCGGGUUGGUUUGAUAGACUAAUUAGCAAAGAAAUGGAUUGAAGCGGAUUUGGAUUGGAUUACAAUCCAAUGGCAGGCUUAACAAUGACAUAUUAGCUGAAGGUUUUAUUGCUACAAUGGGGACGAACGCAGGACACAUGAUCACAUCAAUAUUCGACAACGCACACGCACAUGUUCUAGAUAAGUAUACAUUUGAUUUUUCCAAAUUAAACAAAACUUGUUCAGAAUCAAAUUAAUCAACGUCACACAAGAACCACACACAUGACAGUCAAGCACACAGGUCUAGCUAGAUCUAAUUCAAUAUUCGGCUGGAGUACACGCAAUGCAUACCGUACAUGUACGUAUAUACGCGUACAGUACGGUCGCUGCAUACAGCAUGGCCCAAGGAGGAGAACGCCCUUUUAACUUUUUUUUUCGAUCAUUUCCUCUUCCUCUACUACUACGGACGUGCGCGCAUGUAUUUCCGUAUUUAUACGCCGUAUUUACCAGGUAUAUUAUAUGUAUAUAUAU